Molecule: small nucleolar RNA, 55 nt
Filed under: Fusarium venenatum
Lineage: Eukaryota; Fungi; Ascomycota; Sordariomycetes; Hypocreales; Nectriaceae
Source: RNAcentral
UUAGCUCUAUCCGAGUUCAUCAUGACGAACAACCUAUUCACCUUGGAGAACUGAU